Molecule: transfer RNA, 69 nt
Filed under: Levensteiniella iris
Lineage: Eukaryota; Metazoa; Annelida; Polychaeta; Phyllodocida; Polynoidae
Description: tRNA-Asn
Source: RNAcentral
UAGGCUGAAGCUAAACACCCAAGCAUCUAGUUGUUAACUAGAAUCUUGUUAUAUUAAUAACCUCCCUAA